RNAcentral lists this ribosomal RNA (301 nucleotides) under uncultured bacterium. Its description in RNAcentral is "partial 16S ribosomal RNA". It matches the Rfam family "Bacterial small subunit ribosomal RNA", at positions 509 to 809 of the family's 1533-position model. The record is from RNAcentral.
CAGUCGCCGCGGUAAUACGUAGGGUGCAAGCGUUAAUCGGAAUUACUGGGCGUAAAGCGUGCGCAGGCGGUUUGUUAAGACAGAUGUGAAAUCCCCGGGCUCAACCUGGGAACUGCAUUUGUGACUGGCAAGCUAGAGUCUGGCAGAGGGGGGUGGAAUUCCGCGUGUAGCAGUGAAAUGCGUAGAUAUGCGGAGGAACACCGAUGGCGAAGGCAGCCCCCUGGGCCAACACUGACGCUCAUGCACGAAAGCGUGGGGAGCAAACAGGAUUAGAUACCCGGGUAGUCCCUGUCUCUUAUAA